Molecule: ribosomal RNA, 351 nt
Filed under: Triticum aestivum (bread wheat)
Lineage: Eukaryota; Viridiplantae; Streptophyta; Magnoliopsida; Poales; Poaceae
Description: partial small subunit ribosomal RNA
Source: RNAcentral
AUGCUAACCCAAUCCUCUUCAUCUGUUGUUGACGUUGUGCCAUCGCCUAUGUUUAGUAUCCAGUUUGCGAAUUCAACUGUUUUUGCUUUCUCUUCUCAACUACCUUCGGAUGAAUUCAGACGCAUAUUUUCUUUGAGUCGGUACUCCUCAAAGUUCUUCCAUAGGCAGGAUCUCUUUAUUGAUGCAGAAAUGAUAUGUUCUCUUUUCCCCUUCGGUAUAACUGGUAGGAUUUGCCUAAAGUCACCUCCCAAGACUACUGUCAUUCCUCCAAAUGGUCUAUGCUUUGCGCCCUCAUAUGUGAAUCGAAUUGGCGCAUUUGAGGAGCAGAGGCCCAAUGGGAUGCUUCCAUGA